This 240-nucleotide unclassified non-coding RNA is filed under the name soil metagenome. RNAcentral's name for it is "partial contains 5.8S ribosomal RNA, internal transcribed spacer 2, and large subunit ribosomal RNA". The record is from RNAcentral.
AACAUCGCGCACCUGCGGGAACCUGCGGAAGGAUCAUUAAUGAUUGGUGGCUGUUGCUGACUAGUGUUUCUAGUAUGUGCACGCCACACCUUCGAUCCCACUUACACCUGUGCACCUUCUGUAAUAGAUCUAUGUGGAUACGGAGAUAUGAAAGUUUGCGCUCUCGUACUCUGUUGAAGCAGUCUACUACGUUUUUUUACACACACACAAUAGUCAUUGAAUGUAUUUUUUAUUCUUAUG